This 472-nucleotide ribosomal RNA is filed under the name uncultured bacterium. RNAcentral's name for it is "partial 16S ribosomal RNA". It matches the Rfam family "Bacterial small subunit ribosomal RNA", at positions 28 to 507 of the family's 1533-position model. The record is from RNAcentral.
GACGAACGCUGGCGGCGUGCUUAACACAUGCAAGUCGAACGAUGAACCCGGAGCUUGCUCUGGGGGAUUAGUGGCGAACGGGUGAGUAACACGUGAGUAACCUGCCCUGGACUCUGGGAUAAGCGUUGGAAACGACGUCUAAUACCGGAUAGGACCUUGGAUCGCAUGAUCUGGGGUGGAAAGUUUUUUCGGUCUGGGAUGGACUCGCGGCCUAUCAGCUUGUUGGUGAGGUAAUGGCUCACCAAGGCGUCGACGGGUAGCCGGCCUGAGAGGGUGACCGGCCACACUGGGACUGAGACACGGCCCAGACUCCUACGGGAGGCAGCAGUGGGGAAUAUUGCACAAGGGGCGAAAGCCUGAUGCAGCAACGCCGCGUGCGGGAUGACGGCCUUCGGGUUGUAAACCGCUUUUAGUAGGGAAGAAGGGCUUCGGCUUGACGGUACCUGCAGAAAAAGGACCGGCUAACUACGUG